GAUGAACGCUGGCGGCGUGCCUAAUACAUGCAAGUAGAACGCUGAAGGAAGGAGCUUGCUCUUUCCGGAUGAGUUGCGAACGGGUGAGUAACGCGUAGGUAACCUGCCUGGUAGCGGGGGAUAACUAUUGGAAACGAUAGCUAAUACCGCAUAACAGUAGAUGUUGCAUGAUAUCUACUUAAAAGGUGCAAUUGCACCACUACCAGAUGGACCUGCGCUGUAUUAGCUAGUUGGUGAGGUAACGGCUCACCAAGGCGACGAUACAUAGCCGACCUGAGAGGGUGAUCGGCCACACUGGGACUGGGACACGGCCCAGACUCCUACGGGAGGCAGCAGUAGGGAAUCUUCGGCAAUGGACGGAAGUCUGACCGAGCAACGCCGCGGGAGUGAAGAAGGUUUUCGGAUCGUAAAGCUCGGUUGUAAGAGAAGAACGAGUGUGAGAGUGGAAAGUUCACACUGUGACGGUAUCUUACCAGAAAGAGACGGCUAACUACGUG
RNAcentral lists this ribosomal RNA (497 nucleotides) under uncultured bacterium. RNAcentral describes it as "partial 16S ribosomal RNA". It matches the Rfam family "Bacterial small subunit ribosomal RNA", at positions 28 to 507 of the family's 1533-position model. The record is from RNAcentral.